AUUGAACGCUGGCGGCAGGCCUAACACAUGCAAGUCGAGCGGAAGAAGGGAGCUUGCUCCUGGAUUCAGCGGCGGACGGGUGAGUAAUGCCUAGGAAUCUGCCUGGUAGUGGGGGAUAACGUCCGGAAACGGGCGCUAAUACCGCAUACGUCCUGAGGGAGAAAGUGGGGGAUCUUCGGACCUCACGCUAUCAGAUCAGCUUAGGUGGGAUUAGCUAGUUGGUGGGGUAAAGGCCUACCAAGGCGACGAUCCGUAACUGGUCUGAGAGGAUGAUCAGUCACACUGGAACUGAGACACGGUCCAGACUCCUACGGGAGGCAGCAGUGGGGAAUAUUGGACAAUAGGCGAAAGCCUGGUCCAGCCAUGCCGCGUGUGUGAAGAAGGUCUUCGGAUUGUAAAGCACUUUAAGUUGGGAGGAAGGGCAGUAAGUUAAUACCUUGCUGUUUUGACGGUACCAACAGAAUAAGCACCGGCUAACUUCGUG
RNAcentral lists this ribosomal RNA (484 nucleotides) under uncultured bacterium. RNAcentral's name for it is "partial 16S ribosomal RNA". It matches the Rfam family "Bacterial small subunit ribosomal RNA", at positions 30 to 507 of the family's 1533-position model. The record is from RNAcentral.